RNAcentral lists this ribosomal RNA (171 nucleotides) under uncultured bacterium. RNAcentral's name for it is "partial 16S ribosomal RNA". It matches the Rfam family "Bacterial small subunit ribosomal RNA", at positions 335 to 524 of the family's 1533-position model. The record is from RNAcentral.
ACUCCUACGGGAGGCAGCAGCUAGGAAUCUUGGGAAUGCGCGAAAGCGUGACCCAGCAACGCCGCGUGGGCGAUGAAGGCCUUCGGGUCGUAAAGCCCUUUUGCAGGGGAAGAUUGUGACGGUACCUUGCGAAUAAGCCACGGCUAACUACGUGCCAGCAGCCGCGGUAAU